UGGGAUUACCCGCUGAACUUAAGCAUAUCAAUAAGCGGAGGAAAAGAAACUAACAAGGAUUCCCCUAGUAACGGCGAGUGAAGAGGGAAAAGCCCAAAUUUGUAAUCUGGCUCUUUUAGAGUCCGAGUUGUAAUUUUGAGAACUGUUUUCAGUGCUGGACCAUGUUUAAGUCUGUUGAAAAACAGCAUCAUUGAGGGUGAUAAUCCCGUUCAUGAUAUGGACUACCAGUACUUUAUGAUACAGUCUCUAAGAGUCGAGUUGUUUGGGAAUGCAGCUCAAAGUGGGUGGUAAAUUCCAUCUAAGGCUAAAUAUAGGUGAGAGACCGAUAGCAAACAAGUACCGUGAGGGAAAGAUGAAAAGAACUUUGGAAAGAGAGUUAACAGUACGUGAAAUUGCUGAAAGGGAAACAAUUGAAGUUAGCCUUGUUAUUGUCAGUUCAGCUCUUUUAGAGUGUAUUCUGAUGAUUAACGACCAACAUCAGUCUUUGAGUGCUGGAUAAGGGUUUUGGAAAUGUAGCAGUCUCGGCUGUGUUAUAGUCCAUUACUUUGAUACAGUGCUUGGGAUUGAGGAUCGCAGUAAGCCAUUUUAUGGUGGACCAAAUUUUUGGUCUUCUUACUGAGGAUGUUGGUGAAA
This 633-nucleotide ribosomal RNA is filed under the name Neophysopella vitis. Its description in RNAcentral is "partial large subunit ribosomal RNA". It matches the Rfam family "Eukaryotic large subunit ribosomal RNA", at positions 16 to 634 of the family's 3401-position model. The record is from RNAcentral. Lineage: Eukaryota; Fungi; Basidiomycota; Pucciniomycetes; Pucciniales; Crossopsoraceae.